AGUCAUUGUUGAAUCAAGAAGCGGAACACCCCUCUUCUUCAACAUCGUCCAUUGGAAGUGCCCUGCCCUUCAACCAACCAACCAACCAACCAGUGCUCCGUCCAGCUACCCUCUUUUUGCUCAUUCCACUUGCCACUCAUCAAGGAUGUUUUAAACAAUGCUCCGAAAUCCGAAACAGUUACCGUGCCGCCACACACUAGAUAUUUGAUCGAACAACUCACCAUCAAAUGUAAAACUGUCAGUUUCGCUUUGGAUUAUUUCAAUGUGGGCAUUUCCAUCGACUGAUUGGAUGUCUGCCAAUUAACAUGUAACUUUAUUGUAGAAUGAGCAUUGUUAAAUGAAAUUGAUUUUGAAAG
Non-coding RNA from Caenorhabditis elegans, 356 nucleotides. Lineage: Eukaryota; Metazoa; Nematoda; Chromadorea; Rhabditida; Rhabditidae. The record is from Ensembl.